GAGUUUGAUCAUGGCUCAGAUUGAACGCUGGCGGCAGGCCUAACACAUGCAAGUCGAGCGGAUGACGGGAGCUUGCUCCUUGAUUCAGCGGCGGACGGGUGAGUAAUGCCUAGGAAUCUGCCUGGUAGUGGGGGACAACGUUUCGAAAGGAACGCUAAUACCGCAUACGUCCUACGGGAGAAAGCAGGGACCUUCGGGCCUUGCGCUAUCAGAUGAGCCUAGGUCGGAUUAGCUAGUUGGUGGGUAAUGGCUCACCAAGGCGACGAUCCGUAACUGGUCUGAGAGGAUGAUCAGUCACACUGGAACUGAGACACGGUCCAG
This 321-nucleotide ribosomal RNA is filed under the name bacterium enrichment culture clone ALO1_GLFRUDD03HIZXQ. RNAcentral's name for it is "bacterial SSU rRNA". It matches the Rfam family "Bacterial small subunit ribosomal RNA", at positions 9 to 334 of the family's 1533-position model. The record is from RNAcentral.